AGGACGAACGCUGGCGGCGUGCCUAACACAUGCAAGUCGAGCGGGAUCCAUCCAGUGGCAACACUGGGGAAGAUCUAGCGGCGAACGGGUGAGUAACACGUGAGAAACCUGCCCUGAAGUCUGGGAUAACCCGAGGAAACUCGAGCUAAUACCGGAUACCUUCCGACGGUCGCAUGGCUGUUGGAAGAAAGAUUCAUCGCUUCAGGAGGGUCUCGCGGCCUAUCAGCUUGUUGGCGGGGUAACGGCCCACCAAGGCGUCGACGGGUAGCUGGUCUGAGAGGACGAUCAGCCACACUGGGACUGAGACACGGCCCAGACUCCUACGGGAGGCAGCAGUGGGGAAUAUUGCGCAAUGGGCGAAAGCCUGACGCAGCAACGCCGCGUGCGGGAUGAAGGCCUUCGGGUUGUAAACCGCUUUCAGUGGGACGAAUUGACGGUACCACAGAAGAAGCCCGGCCAACUACGUGCCAGCAGCCGCGGU
RNAcentral lists this ribosomal RNA (481 nucleotides) under uncultured bacterium. Its description in RNAcentral is "SSU rRNA". It matches the Rfam family "Bacterial small subunit ribosomal RNA", at positions 26 to 521 of the family's 1533-position model. The record is from RNAcentral.